This 206-nucleotide long non-coding RNA is filed under the name Homo sapiens (human). RNAcentral describes it as "HSALNT0085018". Lineage: Eukaryota; Metazoa; Chordata; Mammalia; Primates; Hominidae. The record is from RNAcentral.
AGGUAGUAGAGGAUGUCUACAGCUUUUUUUGGAAAACCUCAGAUAUGACAGGGUAUGUCUGAUAGGAUGGAGAAGGAGUCAGUUCCAUGUAGAUUGAGAGACUCUUGGGAUAUGGUUAUUGGCCAGAUGCCAUAUAUGUUGUAUAUGAAACUGGGAUAACUAUAGCAGAGGUUGUUUUGAAAAUGAAUUGGCUAAUGGGAAUUUGC